RNAcentral lists this long non-coding RNA (833 nucleotides) under Hordeum vulgare. RNAcentral describes it as "long non-coding RNA (HVUL_LNC002381)". Lineage: Eukaryota; Viridiplantae; Streptophyta; Magnoliopsida; Poales; Poaceae. The record is from RNAcentral.
CAAAGACAGUGGUAACUGAAUGAAUAAUUAAAAAAGGGUGAUUUUAUGCUACCAUUGCUCGUUUCCUUGUGCAGUUUGGGAUUCCGCCUUGCGUUUUUGCAGUUUGCCGGUUGAUCCGCUCCUUCUCUACUGACUAACAACGUGGACGACUGGUGCGUCGAUUGCCAAUAUAAGAUCCAGCCACCUCGAAAAAAAUAUUUCCCUACCUUGGUUAUGGAAAUUUGGUGGCAGUUGAGGAAAGAAAAGAAAGGGGAUAUCUUUAGUUCCACAAGAAGAUAUGUGGAAGGUUGGCUUCCACAACUUGAAGCAUAUGGCAUUACAUAAUUUCUUCCAUCAGCUCUUGUAAUCUAUAAAUAUUCUUCAUACCUCUAAUCUUCCAUUUUAUACUUACGUUGUAAUGAACUUUCUUCUUAAUCGAUGCAAGAAAUAUUGUUGCCUUCAUUAAAAAUCCUUAAGCUGCUAAGCAUGAAAAUCGGGAGAAUAUGCUCGUCAACACCAAAAGCAAGCGCGUGUUUUGCUAUUCUGCAUACUAUCAACAAUCAAUGAAAUAAUCGAUGGAGAAAACUAACGAAUCAUGGCAAACCUUUGAGGUUGACAGGGAGCAAGAGUGGCACCUGCAGCAGCUACACCCACGUAGUUGCCACUUAAUUCUUCGCCCAGUGUUGCAACCACACAACGAUGAUAUAGAUUGACAAUUUCACAUCACUCUCCGGAAUAGAAAUUUGCCGACGUGGAUUGGAAAGUUGAGGAAGACGUGAGGGAACCUACAGCUAUGAAGUAGGGGACGCUAAAGGGUAAUGAACCGUCGGCCGGCCGCUUGAUUACCUCAUUAG